GAGUUAAGCUUACUCUAAGAAUUCUC
This 26-nucleotide non-coding RNA is filed under the name Rattus norvegicus (Norway rat). Lineage: Eukaryota; Metazoa; Chordata; Mammalia; Rodentia; Muridae. The record is from RNAcentral.